AGUGAACGCUGGCGGUAGGCCUAACACAUGCAAGUCGAACGGCAGCACAGUAAGAGCUUGCUCUUACGGGUGGCGAGUGGCGGACGGGUGAGGAAUACAUCGGAAUCUACUUUUUCGUGGGGGAUAACGUAGGGAAACUUACGCUAAUACCGCAUACGACCUACGGGUGAAAGCAGGGGAUCUUCGGACCUUGCGCGAUUGAAUGAGCCGAUGUCGGAUUAGCUAGUUGGCGGGGUAAAGGCCCACCAAGGCGACGAUCCGUAGCUGGUCUGAGAGGAUGGUCGGCCGCACUGGAACUGAGACACGGUCCAGACUCCUACGGGAGGCAGCAGUCGGGAAUAUUGGACAAUGGGCGCAAGCCUUAUCCAGCCAUACCGCGUGGGUGAAGAAGGCCUUCGGGUUGUAAAGCCGUUUUGUUGGGAAAGAAAAGCAGCAGGUUAAUACCCCGCUGUUCUGACGGUACCCAAAGAAUAAGCACCGGCUAACUUCGUG
Molecule: ribosomal RNA, 492 nt
Filed under: uncultured bacterium
Lineage: Bacteria
Description: partial 16S ribosomal RNA
Rfam family: Bacterial small subunit ribosomal RNA
Source: RNAcentral